Molecule: long non-coding RNA, 2130 nt
Organism: Magnolia sinica
Lineage: Eukaryota; Viridiplantae; Streptophyta; Magnoliopsida; Magnoliales; Magnoliaceae
Exons: 9
Source: RefSeq, a predicted model, not a curated record
UGUGCUUGCCCGAUCUACUCUCUCUUUUAAAAUGAAGAGAAAAAGACUCUCUCUCUUUCUCUCUCUCCAUUGCAGAAUCAAGGAAUAACAACUAGUCAAAAACAGUAAACCUAACCCUAGAAAUCUCUCUCUACACACACACACACACACUCUCUCUCUCUCUCUCUCUCUCAACCCUAAUUCUUUCAAAAUCAGGGUUACUGAAGACUAGGGUUUUUGGAUGUGAGAUUGUUCGGAUCCGUCAUGGCCGAUCUUCCCAGCGUCACAGCGGCAGCAACGAGGGCUUCUCCCUGGCAGUGCUGAACAAUGGUAGUACGGAUGCGCCGAAGCUGACGGUGUUAGGUCGUUCAAGGGGUCAAAGAGGCAGACAUCGGUCCGGUUGAGCCUCAACGCGGAUGAGUUCAUAAAUCUGCUACACAGGUCGGAUUCAGUCAAGGUGGAGUUGAAUCAAUUGGAGAAUGAAGUCAGAGAUAAGGAUCGGGAGUUGGGGGAAGCGCAGGCGAAGAUCAAGGCAUUGAGGUUAUCAGAACGUUUGAGAGAGAAGGCGGUCGAAGAGGUUUGCCAUCUCGUGCACAAUAUGAAAGGCGGAUUUUGAUGCAGCAACAGUUAAAAUAGUCAUGGCUGGAGCUGGGUGUGAAAAUGGUAGUAAAGUGGAACAACUCUCAUCCUUGGAGAUGGACUCUAUAACUUCAUCAAAGUACUGUCUUUCACCAUCAGAAGCUUCCAUGGUAGAUUGAAAUGGAAGGACCCUCAGAACAGCUAUGACAGAUCUUAGUGCCAACGCUGGGCAGGCUGGCCAACACAACCGUUAGUAAAUCCUGCAUUGAAGCGGCGGCUGGCACAACCGUCAGUAAAUCCUACAAAAGGAGAAGGUUGCUUCAAAUCAUUAUGGUUAUUCUGUUAUUGUAUUUGGUGAACUCAUGGAAUUCCAUGGAACUGAUUGAAUGGAAGGAGCUUCUGUUGUCCAUACAAGUCAUGUUUCUGAUUUUUUGGAUGAAUUGGGUGUGUGAAACUGCAUGGAACUGAUCAAAUGAACAUGGAAUUUCUAUUGGGAAGAAACACUGACUCCUCAGAAGGCCGUAGACAGUACGGUCAUUGGAUUCUCCGUAAGUUGUAAGAGUUCAUGUCAUACCUUUUAGUAAAUUUGUUUUUUUUUUUUUUUGGAUUCUCCAUAGACAUUAAGUUUUCUUCUUGUUGUUGGUUUUUUUUGGAUUCUCCAUAUGAAAUUAUGAGAAAUCAUGCCUAAAACAUUUAAAAGCAUUUGUUGGAGCCCACCUAAGUUUUGAAAUAGCCUAAAAUCUGUUGUGACCCCUUAUCCAAGUGACCUCUUAUCUAAGUCACAAUGAAUGGCCUAGAUGUUUAAACCACAUCUCGUUGGGUCCGCUGUACAAAAAAAAAAAGGUUUCAAUGGAUGUGCAUCCACUCUUAACCAUUAUUUAUGUUGUUGCUCACCUAAGUUGUGGAUUGGCCUCAUUUUUAAGCCCAUGGCUCACCAUGAAAGGGUAUAUCUAAUUCAUGGGAUAGAUGUCUUCAAAUUUUGAGGAUGUGUUGCAAGAAGAAAACCUUUACUUUAUUACUGAGGUAAGUUGCUGAUUUUUUAUUUUUAUUUUUCUGUUGAUGAAGUAUAUUAAACAGCAUGAUUUAGGUCUUCAUCAAGUUGCUGAUACAGUUUCAUUUGUUGCCAGGCUAUUAUCAUUUUGCAGAAAUAUUUUAGGCCAAUGAAAUUUUAAUAUGACUGAAAUGGACGGACAGCUGAAGGAAGCUGGUUGUCUUCAUUUUCAUUUUCUAAAAUUUUGUUUGUCUUUUGCUUUUUGAACAUGCAUAGAAUCCUAUAAGGAAUUGGGAAAAUACAGACUAAUCUUAGACUUCUUAGUGACAUUCUAUUUGGUUGUAAACAGGGGCACCUUCUGUGAUUUGAAGCUUCAUCUCAUCAUCAAUAAUGCCAGGUGACACUGGCACACUUCCUCUUCUCUGCCAUUAUUAUAUUAUGUCAAGCUUACCAAAGAUCGACAGAAGAAACCAGUCCCUUGGAAACAAUGGCAAUCAUUGGCAACAAGGAGAUCAUUAACAUUAACCAAGGUAUGUUAGCUGUUUAGACUGGUAAAAAAAAAAAACUAGGAUACAUGUGGG